Molecule: ribosomal RNA, 455 nt
Filed under: uncultured Cellulomonas sp.
Lineage: Bacteria; Bacillati; Actinomycetota; Actinomycetes; Micrococcales; Cellulomonadaceae
Description: bacterial SSU rRNA
Rfam family: Bacterial small subunit ribosomal RNA
Source: RNAcentral
AACGACGGCGGAGCAUGCGGAUUAAUUCGAUGCAACGCGAAGAACCUUACCAAGGCUUGACAUACACCGGUAAGCCCAGAGAUGGGUGCCCCUUUGUGGUCGGUGUACAGGUGGUGCAUGGUUGUCGUCAGCUCGUGUCGUGAGAUGUUGGGUUAAGUCCCGCAACGAGCGCAACCCUCGUCCUAUGUUGCCAGCGGGUCAUGCCGGGGACUCAUGGGAGACUGCCGGGGUCAACUCGGAGGAAGUGGGGAUGACGUCAAAUCAUCAUGCCCCUUAUGUCUUGGGCUUCACGCAUGCUACAAUGGCCGGUACAAAGGGCUGCGAUACCGCGAGGUGGAGCGAAUCCCAGAAAGCCGGUCUCAGUUCGGAUUGGGGUCUGCAACUCGACCCCAUGAAGUCGGAGUCGCUAGUAAUCGCAGAUCAGCAACGCUGCGGUGAAUACGUUCCCGGGCCUU